GCCAAUGUGGUAGUGGUUUGAGCGUCGGUUUAUCACUCUGGAGACCAGGGUUCGAAUCCCGGCUUAGCCA
This is a non-coding RNA of Phrynosoma platyrhinos (Desert horned lizard), 70 nucleotides long. NCBI's taxonomy places the organism in Eukaryota, Metazoa, Chordata, Lepidosauria, Squamata, Phrynosomatidae. The record is from the annotation of a GenBank genome assembly.